RNAcentral lists this long non-coding RNA (391 nucleotides) under Theobroma cacao (cacao). RNAcentral's name for it is "long non-coding RNA (TCAC_LNC004653)". Lineage: Eukaryota; Viridiplantae; Streptophyta; Magnoliopsida; Malvales; Malvaceae. The record is from RNAcentral.
ACAGAAUCAGAUAUACCUUACCUCGAUCGGAAAGCCGUGUGGAGGGUGUCUCUGGAGGUAAAGAUUUGAGUGCACUUCACGUGGACCACCGCGUGAGAGUGAGACUCAGCCAACGCCAAGGCAUGGCUAGAUUUUCAAAUGUAAAAAUAUGUUCAUGUGUGUACUACACUGAACAGCCUUGGCGGUCUCGAUCAGAUGCCUAGGCCAAGGCAUCCCCGGGAAUGAUUUUGGUAGGAGCCAAUUUCUGUGAAAUACAUAAGCCAAGUUGAUUAUUUGAGUAAAUUGAUUAUUGAUGUUAUGAAAAACAUACUGGAAUGGAAUAUCUUACUUGUCUCCAUUUACUCGAUUUUAGAUGGUUUAGAUGGUAUCUGUUUACUCACUGGGAUUUUAU